CAGCAGCCGCGGUAAUACGAAGGGGGCUAGCGUUGUUCGGAUUUACUGGGCGUAAAGCGCACGUAGGCGGAUCCUUAAGUCAGAGGUGAAAUCCCAAGGCUCAACCUUGGAACUGCCUUUGAUACUGGGGAUCUCGAGUUCGGGAGAGGUGAGUGGAACUGCGAGUGUAGAGGUGAAAUUCGCAGAUAUUCGCAAGAACACCAGUGGCGAAGGCGGCUCACUGGCUCGAAACUGACGCUGAGGCACGAAAGCGUGAGGAGCAAACAGGAUUAGAGACCCCGGUAGUCCCUGUCUCUUAUAC
This 301-nucleotide ribosomal RNA is filed under the name uncultured bacterium. RNAcentral's name for it is "partial 16S ribosomal RNA". It matches the Rfam family "Bacterial small subunit ribosomal RNA", at positions 509 to 807 of the family's 1533-position model. The record is from RNAcentral.